UCAUUCCACAGACAGGUAUGGAGCACUGAGU
Molecule: non-coding RNA, 31 nt
Filed under: Drosophila erecta
Lineage: Eukaryota; Metazoa; Arthropoda; Insecta; Diptera; Drosophilidae
Also listed under: 1 other name
Source: RNAcentral